This is a long non-coding RNA of Stylophora pistillata, 1551 nucleotides long. The record is from RefSeq and is a predicted model, not a curated record. Lineage: Eukaryota; Metazoa; Cnidaria; Anthozoa; Scleractinia; Pocilloporidae.
GGGUCUUAACUUGACCCAAUUCAACAUUGUGUAAACAAUUUAGGCACAAAUAAAAUGGUCAAUUUUCGUCUCAGGGGCAUGCACUUUAAAAAGGGAUUUAAUUGACAUCAUAAUGAUCAAAAUCCACUUAAGCUUUGAAAUACAUAAAACAAAAUAUAAAAACAAUAAAUAAAUGUGAUGAAAAUCUGAUGUUAUGAAACACUUACAAUGGGAAAACCUGCUGCUGGUAGCUUUUGUGUCUAAUUUUUUAAAUUUCGUGGGAAAUAUUUUUCUUUGAAAGCAGAUACAGAAGUUGUCAGAGAUAAGAAAGUUAAUUAUUUAAAUCUUUUCAUAAUUACUACUGCAAAGUAUACAAGUAAAUUUUUGCAGAAUUUCAAGUCCUUGAUAUGAGAACUCAGAGUGAUAUAUUCAACAAUUCUCUACAUAUAUAAAACUGAAUGUCUUUCACAUUUUAUUUGCCCCUUACAUUUAUUAGUAACAAUAGUUUACUCAAAGACUGUUAGAAAAGCAAACAAACAAAUGAAUAAAAACAGUGAAAUUAGGAAAAGAUCGCAGACUACUGAAGAAGGGAAACUUGAAUUGUGCUUGUUAAUUUUCUCCAAUGUCCUUCAUGUUUUUGGUCAAAUAAAUGUAAUCAGUUGUAGGGAUUACCUAAAAUGUGGCAACUUGUCAGUAUGGUCUUGAUUCUUCUCAGAUGUCAGCUAGUAAAAGUUAGAUACUUCAAAUAACUGGCCCUAAGGACAAGGUACACAUCAUCAAAAAAGUCACACUGAAGUGGUUGAUGAUCAUAAAAUUUGGAGAGAUUUGGUUUUGUGAUUGAUUUGUGAUAAUCAGAAUGAUAGUCUGGCAGGAAAAACCCACUGAGGUUUUUCCUAUUCAACAGCAAGUUCAUUAGAUUUUGGAAUCUACAUUCAAACUUGGAUGGUUCAGAUGAAGAUAGCCCAAAAGAAGUGAACUUGACAGUAACAAAGGUGACAAAUGAGGAAACUUGAUCACAUUAGUUGUUACAUCUUGGCUUGAAAUUCUGACAAUUACUGAGAUAAUUAAAAUGUCAGUCCCUGAACAGGAAUGCACCUUCCAUAUGAACUGCACAGUCAUGCAGUCAUAAGCAAUGAGAUAAUUGAAAAAAAUGUUUGUGUGUUUGGCAGAACUACUGUUACUGCAGUGGUACCUACAGUAUAGUGACAAAAAUUACUAAUUUCCUGUAAGUACAAAUGUAUAGGAGAAGUUAUGGCAGAAACUGACCUUUUUUCUGCAGGGAUGCAUAGGGUUUGAUGAUUGUAAUGUUUUUCAGGUUUAGCAUUGAGACUUUCGACUUUGUAUGAAUUGUAACAUUUCACCAUAAUUUUAUUUAUUCCUUGUACCUUAAAUAAGCCCUCAAAAGUUUAUUUAGUUGUAGCAGGGGAGUGUGUAACCUGACUUCCUUUGUUUGCAGUUGUGUGAUUGCAUGCAUAAAAAUUUCAGUUGCAAAUAGCGACACUGUAUUAAUACCAACAUUGUAACAUGUAAAGUUAUUUGGAUGGCAUUAAAUACUCAGGCUCAAGCUCUCAA